RNAcentral lists this ribosomal RNA (497 nucleotides) under uncultured bacterium. RNAcentral describes it as "partial 16S ribosomal RNA". It matches the Rfam family "Bacterial small subunit ribosomal RNA", at positions 28 to 507 of the family's 1533-position model. The record is from RNAcentral.
GAUGAACGCUGGCGGCGUGCCUAAUACAUGCAAGUCGAGCGAACAGACGAGGAGCUUGCUCCUCUGACGUUAGCGGCGGACGGGUGAGUAACACGUGGAUAACCUACCUAUAAGACUGGGAUAACUUCGGGAAACCGGAGCUAAUACCGGAUAAUAUAUUGAACCGCAUGGUUCAAUAGUGAAAGACGGUUUUGCUGUCACUUAUAGAUGGAUCCGCGCCGCAUUAGCUAGUUGGUAAGGUAACGGCUUACCAAGGCAACGAUGCGUAGCCGACCUGAGAGGGGGAUCGGCCACCCUGGAACUGGGACACGGUCCAGACUCCUACGGGAGGCAGCAGUAGGGAAUCUUCCGCAAUGGGCGAAAGCCUGACGGAGCAACGCCGCGUGAGUGAUGAAGGUCUUCGGAUCGUAAAACUCUGUUAUUAGGGAAGAACAAAUGUGUAAGUAACUAUGCACGUCUUGACGGUACCUAAUCAGAAAGCCACGGCUAACUACGUG